Molecule: ribosomal RNA, 865 nt
Filed under: Klebsiella pneumoniae
Lineage: Bacteria; Pseudomonadati; Pseudomonadota; Gammaproteobacteria; Enterobacterales; Enterobacteriaceae
Also listed under: 1 other name
Description: partial 23S ribosomal RNA
Rfam family: Bacterial large subunit ribosomal RNA
Source: RNAcentral
UGUUUCGGCUAGGGGGUCAUCCCGACUUACCAACCCGAUGCAAACUACGAAUACCGAAGAAUGUUAUCACGGGAGACACACGGCGGGUGCUAACGUCCGUCGUGAAGAGGGAAACAACCCAGACCGCCAGCUAAGGUCCCAAAGUCAUGGUUAAGUGGGAAACGAUGUGGGAAGGCACAGACAGCCAGGAUGUUGGCUUAGAAGCAGCCAUCAUUUAAAGAAAGCGUAAUAGCUCACUGGUCGAGUCGGCCUGCGCGGAAGAUGUAACGGGGCUAAACCAUGCACCGAAGCUGCGGCAGCGACACUAUGUGUUGUUGGGUAGGGGAGCGUUCUGUAAGCCUGCGAAGGUGUGCUGUGAGGCAUGCUGGAGGUAUCAGAAGUGCGAAUGCUGACAUAAGUAACGAUAAAGCGGGUGAAAAGCCCGCUCGCCGGAAGACCAAGGGUUCCUGUCCAACGUUAAUCGGGGCAGGGUGAGUCGACCCCUAAGGCGAGGCCGAAAGGCGUAGUCGAUGGGAAACAGGUUAAUAUUCCUGUACUUGGUGUUACUGCGAAGGGGGGACGGAGAAGGCUAUGUUAGCCGGGCGACGGUUGUCCCGGUUUAAGCAUGUAGGCUGAUUGUCCAGGCAAAUCCGGAUAAUCAAGGCUGAGGUGUGAUGACGAGGCACUACGGUGCUGAAGUAACAAAUGCCCUGCUUCCAGGAAAAGCCUCUAAGCAUCAGGUAACAUUAAAUCGUACCCCAAACCGACACAGGUGGUCAGGUAGAGAAUACCAAGGCGCUUGAGAGAACUCGGGUGAAGGAACUAGGCAAAAUGGUGCCGUAACUUCGGGAGAAGGCACGCUGGUGUGUAGGUGAAGCCCCUGCGG